Molecule: long non-coding RNA, 2324 nt
Organism: Equus caballus (horse)
Lineage: Eukaryota; Metazoa; Chordata; Mammalia; Perissodactyla; Equidae
Source: Ensembl
CGUGAGUUCACGACAAGGAUUCUGUCUGAAAGUAGAGUUUUAGAAAGGGAGUGGACGGGAUGGACGAAACGGCGGGAGGAGGGACCAGGACGCCUUGCGCUUCUCCAAGCGGGCCCUUGCCGUUCCCUCCAGCCGCCACCAGAGGGCGCGCCGGCCGCGGUGCUUCUGCGGGUCCGGGCUCUUGCGCAGCGGAUCGCGACCGGGGGUGGGCGAGGGGGCUAGCGCUUCGGGCGCGUGGCGCCGAUCUGGCCUCCAGGCCUGUCAUCCUUCUCUUUCCCAGGUCGCUGCGUGGAUGGCGGCUGGGAGGUGCAGCGGCGUCGGGCUCUGCACAUACAUGCAGUCUCGUGCACACUUGUGUGGGCUCUCACACACAUGUGUACACAAGCACACGUGCAGGCUUGUGCACGCACCGUGCAGGCUCUCACACUCACACGUGUGCACACACACACUUUCAUCUUCAUCCAGAAGCCCCUUCUCCAGCCUCACUAAGAAAUUAAUGGAGCACACAAUUCUCAGUUUUUUCCCUGCAUUUGGAACUCACUUCUUCAAGACAGCCUGGGUGCAGCUUGUGGGAGGGCCCCUGCCCUGUUCCAUGUGGGACCCCCCCACUCACAUCACAGCCCCUGUUCGGACGCUGUGCGGGGGAGAGGAGGACAGGGCUCCGCCAUCAGGGGCCUGUCUCCUCCGAGCUCCGACCCAGUCUCCCAAGGGGUGACCUGCCCGGCCUCCGUCCUCCUUCGAGACGUCCAGGGGUGACCCUCAGGCCUAGCUGAGCGGCGCCUGCCCCGCCUCUCUGACAAGGUUCACGGGCCUCCAGGGAGGUUGGCUGAGGGAUUCCCAGGCCCUCCGCGCCCGACGCUGGGGAGUGUGUUGUUUCUGCGGCCCCAGGGCCUGGCACUCUGCAGGCCUCGGCAGCUGGUCUGGGUGAACAAUGAACGGAUGUCAGUUCAGUUGCCACCUCUCGGCCUUUACCGAGGGCUGGACUUUCUUCCCGCGGUGACAAUGUGGCCACAGCACAUUUUGCACUCUCAUGCCUUCCUCUGCUUCGGCCACUGAUGGAACCCACGUGGAUCCAUGUGUCACGCUGCGAUCCGGCCAGCAGCUUCUCCAUCCCGGCCUCAGCGAAGCCCUCCCUGGAGAACAGGGGGACUGUGGUAGCCACUCUCCACGAUGGCCCCAAGGAAGCCUGCCUGCCAGAUUCGUGCUCUGGAGCGGCGCCCUCGGUCUGGGCUGGCCUGUGACGGUUUGAACGGCAGGUACGGGGAAGGGACGCUGUGCACUGAGAAGCCGUGCCCCCAGGCUCCGUAACGAGGCCACAGCCUGAAGACGACUUCUGUUUUCCUUUAGCACCAACCCUAUGUCUCCACCUCCGUCUUUUACACAAAAGUGCCUGACCUUCAGGGAGCACCUCCCACGCCCACAACUUUCCGCCCAGAUUUCAGCAGAACCCACCGCCAAACACCCAGCCAGACAUUCCAUGGAGGGACACAGCAGGACACAGGGGGGACCUAGCAUCGAGUUCUCACCGUUCUGAAUGGACGUUGAAGUUGCCAGUGAGUUGUCUUAUUAUGAACAAAAGCUCCGUACCUGCGCUGCACCCCGCGGGAUGCCUCUGAGGGUUUCUUAGCUGCUGCUGGGGGGCAGCUGGCUGCAGGACUCCUGGCACACGCAGACGGCAGGGACACGAGAAAAUCUGUGCAGUGCGGUCUGUCCACAGGCGGGCUGGCAGGCGCGAGGACUCCAGGCGGAGGGAAAGCACUCUACAGAGUGUUGGGCGGUGACACGAUCGCUGCUUGGCUGAUCCUUCCUGUCCUAGAGGGAAGGAGGACCCCCAAGAUCAAGGGCGAGGGGAGGGACGUGGAGGGGCCCAGCAUGAGGCUGAGGAUGUGGGUUCUAAACCCAGCUCUGCCGCUUCUCCUCUGUCGAGGGGGCACGGUCACAGCACCCUGUUCUUCAGACUGCCGUGUGGCCUGACUGCGAUACUCCGCACAUGAACACUCGGCACAGCGCCUGGGAUGGGGAAAGUGCUCACUAAGUUUUCGCUGUCCUGGUGAGUUCAUUUAUUGUUGUUAGCUGUGCAACUUUGGGCAAACUGCUUCCCUCUCUGGACCUCUGGUUUUGCUUCCAUGUGAUGAGGGCCUCGGUGUAGAUGGCUUCGUAGACCCAUUCCAUGCCAUUUGAGUCCGUUUCCUCCCCGGGUCACGGUGCCUGCGGCUUCUUCCAAGGCCGCGGGGUAAGGCAGCCUGGUGGUUUCAGCACCAGUGGGGAGGACAGCAGCCGGGAGCUGUCCAGGAAGCUGAUCCGCGGGGAGGGCCAGCCUGGAG